GACUGCCCUCUCCGGGAAUCCUGCUCCAAAGGGGACGGGUUUCUCAGGGGACGAGGGCAUGGCCACGCAUGCGCCCCCAAGAGGCCGCCUCGUGUGUGCACUGCCUGGCUUUUCGAAAUAACACGUGGGCUUUGAGACUUAGGCCUCACAUCUCAACGGUACUGAAUGUCCCUGUCAUUCAGUCGUUAGUCCAUCUGUCCCUGUCGGGUUUCAGCCCCUGUCUUGAGAGCCAGAGGAAAAGUAAUAGAAAUAAAGUCCUUAUUCUCACUGCGCUGUUCCUAGGAGAAAAGCCACCUGCAGGAGCCCUGCUCAGGAGACCUCUGUUUUGUGACAUCCCCUGGGCGGGCAGUCCAGACUGGGUGAUGUUAUGGAUCUUGACACUACUAGAAAGCUGUCAUUUGUUGCUGACAUAAGGGAAAGGUAGCUUUCUGGGUGGCACCUAGGCCUGUUUCUGUUCUCUGAGCGACCUUCAGGUCUGAGUCGUGGUCAGAUCUCCAUUUAAUGAGCUCGAGCCUCCAAAGGACUUAGAAAGCCAGCAAUAAGUAAUGAUGAAGGACAGUGUCUUCCUGUAAGACCUUAUGCCUGGACUUCAUUGAAGAUAAUGGCAUCCUCCUCUUUUCUUCAUCCCUUAAUGCAGGAACCCAGCAAGUGUCCACGUGCAGAAGAGUUGCUUGUCCGCUGACAGGCAUGGCUUUGCAGUAAAUGCCAAGGCAUAGAUACUUCCAUCCCCUAAGCAAGAGUGAGACCUGGAAAUAGCGAGAGACCUAGGUGUGAAGUCCAGGCUGUUCUGUUGGUAACAGAAAGGCAUCUCUGCAUCUUCUUAAUUAAUGUCCCUCCUUGUUAUAAAGAUAAAUCUUAUGCUUGUGUGAAACUCAUACUGUAGAGGAGUCCUCCUGCCCUUACUCUGGCUUUAACUCCUUCCCACACAAGGUAACCUACUUCAUUUACAAUCCAGGAGGAGAGAUCCUUCAGUUUUCCUAUAUUUCUCAAUUAAGAACAGUAUGCAUCAGGCAGCAGAUUUUCUGUACCAAUGAAGUUAUACUUUGCGCAUUGUUCUAGAAAACACAUCACACUAUGAGAUGGUUAUCUCAUCUGUCACUUAUCUGUGUCUUUAAACAAUUUAAAGUAAAACACUUGUGAUUCAUCUUUACCUCUCACAAAUAAUAGAAAAUAAAAUGCUACACAUGGUGUC
RNAcentral lists this long non-coding RNA (1192 nucleotides) under Mus pahari (shrew mouse). Its description in RNAcentral is "lncRNA (MGP_PahariEiJ_G0004332.1)". The record is from RNAcentral. Lineage: Eukaryota; Metazoa; Chordata; Mammalia; Rodentia; Muridae.